Molecule: ribosomal RNA, 458 nt
Filed under: uncultured bacterium
Lineage: Bacteria
Description: partial 16S ribosomal RNA
Rfam family: Bacterial small subunit ribosomal RNA
Source: RNAcentral
CUACGGGACGCUGCAGUGAGGAAUAUUGGUCAAUGGACGCAAGUCUGAACCAGCCAUGUCGCGUGAAGGAUGACUGCCCUAUGGGUUGUAAACUUCUUUUAUAUGGGAAGAAUAUGAUUACGAGUAAUCAAAUGCCGGUACCAUAUGAAUAAGCAUCGGCUAACUCCGUGCCAGCAGCCGCGGUAAUACGGAGGAUGCAAGCGUUAUCCGGAUUUAUUGGGUUUAAAGGGUGUGUAGGUGGGCCUUUAAGUCAGUGGUGAAAUCCUGCAGCUCAACUGUAGAACUGCCAUUGAAACUGAAGGUCUUGAGUAUAGACGAGGUAGGCGGAAUGAGUUAUGUAGCGGUGAAAUGCAUAGAUAUAACUCAGAACACCGAUUGCGAAGGCAGCUUACUAGACUAUUACUGACACUGAUGCACGAAAGCGUGGGUAGCGAACAGGAUUAGAUACCCUCGUAGUC